Molecule: long non-coding RNA, 207 nt
Filed under: Gossypium raimondii (Peruvian cotton)
Lineage: Eukaryota; Viridiplantae; Streptophyta; Magnoliopsida; Malvales; Malvaceae
Description: long non-coding RNA (GRAI_LNC009029)
Source: RNAcentral
UGACCUCUCCUUUUUCUUUUCUUUUUUUUAUUUUGAUGUUAAUUAUUAUUUUCUCUUCUUUUUUUGAUUUUUUGAUUUUGAUUUAUUAUUAUUAUUAUUUUAUUCUAAAUUCAUAAGAUUAGGCAAGUCCUUGUUAUCCCUUUUCGAUCAGAAUCAAUGUUUUUAUAGAUAAAGUCCUCCACCUAAGAUCUUCCACUUUCAUCUUAU